RNAcentral lists this ribosomal RNA (448 nucleotides) under uncultured organism. RNAcentral describes it as "partial 16S ribosomal RNA". It matches the Rfam family "Bacterial small subunit ribosomal RNA", at positions 331 to 796 of the family's 1533-position model. The record is from RNAcentral.
GUACACUCCUACGGGAGGCAGCAGUGGGGAAUAUUGGACAAUGGGCGCAAGCCUGAUCCAGCCAUGCCGCGUGAGUGAUGAAGGCCCUAGGGUUGUAAAGCUCUUUCACCGGUGAAGAUAAUGACGGUAACCGGAGAAGAAGCCCCGGCUAACUUCGUGCCAGCAGCCGCGGUAAUACGAAGGGGGCUAGCGUUGUUCGGCUUUACUGGGCGUAAAGCGCACGUAGGCGGACUAUUAAGUCAGGGGUGAAAUCCCGGGGCUCAACCCCGGAACUGCCUUUGAUACUGGUAGUCUUGAGUUCGAGAGAGGUGAGUGGAAUUCCGAGUGUAGAGGUGAAAUUCGUAGAUAUUCGGAGGAACACCAGUGGCGAAGGCGGCUCACUGGCUCGAUACUGACGCUGAGGUGCGAAAGCGUGGGGGGCAAACAGGAUUAGAAACCCCAGUAGUCC